This 559-nucleotide long non-coding RNA is filed under the name Daucus carota (carrot). RNAcentral describes it as "long non-coding RNA (DCAR_LNC003283)". Lineage: Eukaryota; Viridiplantae; Streptophyta; Magnoliopsida; Apiales; Apiaceae. The record is from RNAcentral.
ACUCCUCUGGCCAACAUCCUCAUCACAUAACAAACAAGAGCUCUUCUUGAAAACUCUCUGCCAAGUGAAAUGGUACAAUAGAUCUUAGUAUUGAAUAUCAUAGUAUUAUAAUUAAUUAAUCCAUGUAGAUUAAACUAUAUAUCUUGAGUUUAAUUCAGUAGUAUUGUGUACUUUUGCAGGGUAUGUUCUUGAGAAUCAUGCUUGGAUCAAUUGCAAGAUUUGUAGCUGCAUUUUUGCAGCAACCAGUUGGUCUCGUCAUGACUGUGAUAAAUGCGGUGGCAAACUUCUGCAGCAGGACUCGAGCGUUCGAGAUCGUUCUGUGGUUGGACAGGCUCUUCUUUAAUCAGACAACCAGAGGCUUCAUCCUCUGAAAGCCAUGGAAAUCAUCUUGUCCCCGGCCUGCAACAUCAGUUUCGUGUUUUUUCUAUUAUGUGUUGGACUAUGUUUGUGUUGUUUUGGUGUGUAAUAUCUAAAUAAAUGGCUGUAUUACACAGAUUUCUGCUAGCUAGCUAGAUCUGGUUACAGCAAUACUUGAAUAAAGAGUGUUUGUAUGUUUGCC